CCUACGGGAGGCAGCAGUGGGGAAUAUUGCACAAUGGGCGCAAGCCUGAUGCAGCCAUGCCGCGUGUAUGAAGAAGGCCUUCGGGUUGUAAAGUACUUUCAGCGGGGAGGAAGGUGUUGCGGUUAAUAACCGCAGCAAUUGACGUUACCCGCAGAAGAAGCACCGGCUAACUCCGUGCCAGCAGCCGCGGUAAUA
This 195-nucleotide ribosomal RNA is filed under the name uncultured Salmonella sp. RNAcentral describes it as "partial 16S ribosomal RNA". It matches the Rfam family "Bacterial small subunit ribosomal RNA", at positions 338 to 525 of the family's 1533-position model. The record is from RNAcentral. Lineage: Bacteria; Pseudomonadati; Pseudomonadota; Gammaproteobacteria; Enterobacterales; Enterobacteriaceae.